RNAcentral lists this ribosomal RNA (2770 nucleotides) under Klebsiella pneumoniae. RNAcentral's name for it is "bacterial LSU rRNA". It matches the Rfam family "Bacterial large subunit ribosomal RNA". The record is from RNAcentral. Lineage: Bacteria; Pseudomonadati; Pseudomonadota; Gammaproteobacteria; Enterobacterales; Enterobacteriaceae.
CACUAUCGUUAACUGAAUACAUAGGUUAACGAGGCGAACCGGGGGAACUGAAACAUCUAAGUACCCCGAGGAAAAGAAAUCAACCGAGAUUCCCCCAGUAGCGGCGAGCGAACGGGGAGCAGCCCAGAGUCUGAAUCAGCUUGUGUGUUAGUGGAACGGUCUGGAAAGUCCGACGGUACAGGGUGAUAGUCCCGUACACCAAAAUGCACAGGCUGUGAACUCGAAGAGUAGGGCGGGACACGUGGUAUCCUGUCUGAAUAUGGGGGGACCAUCCUCCAAGGCUAAAUACUCCUGACUGACCGAUAGUGAACCAGUACCGUGAGGGAAAGGCGAAAAGAACCCCGGCGAGGGGAGUGAAAAAGAACCUGAAACCGUGUACGUACAAGCAGUGGGAGCACCUUCGGGUGUGACUGCGUACCUUUUGUAUAAUGGGUCAGCGACUUAUAUUCUGUAGCAAGGUUAACCGUAUAGGGGAGCCGCAGGGAAACCGAGUCUUAACUGGGCGUUAAGUUGCAGGGUAUAGACCCGAAACCCGGUGAUCUAGCCAUGGGCAGGUUGAAGGUUGGGUAACACUAACUGGAGGACCGAACCGACUAAUGUUGAAAAAUUAGCGGAUGACUUGUGGCUGGGGGUGAAAGGCCAAUCAAACCGGGAGAUAGCUGGUUCUCCCCGAAAGCUAUUUAGGUAGCGCCUCGUGAACUCAUCUUCGGGGGUAGAGCACUGUUUCGGCUAGGGGGUCAUCCCGACUUACCAACCCGAUGCAAACUACGAAUACCGAAGAAUGUUAUCACGGGAGACACACGGCGGGUGCUAACGUCCGUCGUGAAGAGGGAAACAACCCAGACCGCCAGCUAAGGUCCCAAAGUCAUGGUUAAGUGGGAAACGAUGUGGGAAGGCACAGACAGCCAGGAUGUUGGCUUAGAAGCAGCCAUCAUUUAAAGAAAGCGUAAUAGCUCACUGGUCGAGUCGGCCUGCGCGGAAGAUGUAACGGGGCUAAACCAUGCACCGAAGCUGCGGCAGCGACACUAUGUGUUGUUGGGUAGGGGAGCGUUCUGUAAGCCUGCGAAGGUGUGCUGUGAGGCAUGCUGGAGGUAUCAGAAGUGCGAAUGCUGACAUAAGUAACGAUAAAGCGGGUGAAAAGCCCGCUCGCCGGAAGACCAAGGGUUCCUGUCCAACGUUAAUCGGGGCAGGGUGAGUCGACCCCUAAGGCGAGGCCGAAAGGCGUAGUCGAUGGGAAACAGGUUAAUAUUCCUGUACUUGGUGUUACUGCGAAGGGGGGACGGAGAAGGCUAUGUUAGCCGGGCGACGGUUGUCCCGGUUUAAGCAUGUAGGCUGAUUGUCCAGGCAAAUCCGGAUAAUCAAGGCUGAGGUGUGAUGACGAGGCACUACGGUGCUGAAGUAACAAAUGCCCUGCUUCCAGGAAAAGCCUCUAAGCAUCAGGUAACAUUAAAUCGUACCCCAAACCGACACAGGUGGUCAGGUAGAGAAUACCAAGGCGCUUGAGAGAACUCGGGUGAAGGAACUAGGCAAAAUGGUGCCGUAACUUCGGGAGAAGGCACGCUGGUGUGUAGGUGAAGUCCCUGCGGAUGGAGCUGAGACCAGUCGAAGAUACCAGCUGGCUGCAACUGUUUAUUAAAAACACAGCACUGUGCAAACACGAAAGUGGACGUAUACGGUGUGACGCCUGCCCGGUGCCGGAAGGUUAAUUGAUGGGGUUAUCCGUAAGGAGAAGCUCUUGAUCGAAGCCCCGGUAAACGGCGGCCGUAACUAUAACGGUCCUAAGGUAGCGAAAUUCCUUGUCGGGUAAGUUCCGACCUGCACGAAUGGCGUAAUGAUGGCCAGGCUGUCUCCACCCGAGACUCAGUGAAAUUGAACUCGCUGUGAAGAUGCAGUGUACCCGCGGCAAGACGGAAAGACCCCGUGAACCUUUACUAUAGCUUGACACUGAACAUUGAGCCUUGAUGUGUAGGAUAGGUGGGAGGCUUUGAAGCGUGGACGCCAGUCUGCGUGGAGCCAACCUUGAAAUACCACCCUUUAAUGUUUGAUGUUCUAACGUUGGCCCCUUACCGGGGUUGCGGACAGUGUCUGGUGGGUAGUUUGACUGGGGCGGUCUCCUCCCAAAGCGUAACGGAGGAGCACGAAGGUUAGCUAAUCCUGGUCGGACAUCAGGAGGUUAGUGCAAUGGCAUAAGCUAGCUUGACUGCGAGCGUGACGGCGCGAGCAGGUGCGAAAGCAGGUCAUAGUGAUCCGGUGGUUCUGAAUGGAAGGGCCAUCGCUCAACGGAUAAAAGGUACUCCGGGGAUAACAGGCUGAUACCGCCCAAGAGUUCAUAUCGACGGCGGUGUUUGGCACCUCGAUGUCGGCUCAUCACAUCCUGGGGCUGAAGUAGGUCCCAAGGGUAUGGCUGUUCGCCAUUUAAAGUGGUACGCGAGCUGGGUUUAGAACGUCGUGAGACAGUUCGGUCCCUAUCUGCCGUGGGCGCUGGAGAAUUGAGGGGGGCUGCUCCUAGUACGAGAGGACCGGAGUGGACGCAUCACUGGUGUUCGGGUUGUCAUGCCAAUGGCACUGCCCGGUAGCUAAAUGCGGAAGAGAUAAGUGCUGAAAGCAUCUAAGCACGAAACUUGCCCCGAGAUGAGUUCUCCCUGAGACUUUAAGUCUCCUGAAGGAACGUUGAAGACGACGACGUUGAUAGGCCGGGUGUGUAAGCGCAGCGAUGCGUUGAGCUAACCGGUACUAAUGAACCGUGAGGCUUAACCUUACAACGCCGAAG